AAUUUUUAUCAUUAUUUAUGUUUCACCAUGACACUCUUAUAUUGAUUCAAGUUUUUUUUUUUCAAAUGAGAAAUAUAAUGUAAUGAUUGUGCUUAGGGCUGCACAAUUAAUCGAAUUUCUAAUCGCGAUCACGAUUAUGGAUGCCACGAUUACGUAAUCGUCCAAAGCCACGAUUACAAGAAAAAAAAAAAAAUCUGCGUGCUUAAGGGGCGUGUUUAGAUCGUGUCACGUUGUGACAGACAGGCAAAUCAACACUUUUAAUACUAGUCUGUAGGCGUGUCCUUACACUAUCAGAUCUGUAUCUCCAUGAACAUGUCUGCAGAUAAAGAAACAUCUGAUUCCGAUAACUUACAAAGUGUUGCUCAGAAUCCCCCACUUGAACCGAAAAGAAAAGCUACAUCUGUGGUCUGGAAUUAUUUCGGAUUCACUAGAGAUGACGUCGAGCAGCGUGUUAUAAUAUGUAAGUUGUGUCGAACAACUGUUUCUGCUCCAUCAAGCAACACCACAAAUUUAUUCAACCAUUUAAAAUUCAAACACAGAGUGCAAUAUGAGGAGUGUGUCAGCGUAAGAAAAAAAGCACCAAGUGACGCGAGAACUGCAACACAGACACCCAUAACGAAAUCGAUGUUUGUUUUUCUCCGUACCCGGCAGGUUCCCAAAAGCAGAUCGAGGUAACUGAAGCGAUCGCGCAUUUUAUAGCAAAAGACAUGGUACCAAUUAAUACAGUUUGCAGCGCGGGGUUCAAAAAACUCAUAAGCACACUGGACAAGAGAUAUGUCAUCCCCUCCCGCAAUUAUUUUUCUCAAGUUGCGCUACCUUCACUUUAUGCAAAAUGCCGCGAAAGCAUUGAAUCAGAUCUGCAGAAAAUUGAGUUCUAUUCUACCACGACUGAUUUAUGGUCAAGUAGAACUAUGGAACCAUAUAUGAGCUUAACAGUUCAUUACAUUGACGACGAGUUUCAACUCAAAAGCAGAUGCUUGCAAACGUCCUAUUUUCCGCAAGAUCAUACCGGGGAUGCGAUUUCUCAAGGUUUGAAAGAGAUGUUGGAUGCCUGGAAUUUAAAGGAGGAGCAACAAGUCUGUGUCACAACAGACAAAGCAGCAAAUAUAGUGAAAGCUGUUGCUAUAAAUAAGUGGAGCAGACUUCAGUGUUUUGGACACAGGCUGCACCUAGCAAUUGAACAUUCUUUGAAAGAUGGACGGAUUGACCGUGCAUUAAAUGUCUGCAAAAAGGUGGUAGGGUGCUUCUCCUACAGCUGGAGACGAAGGAGGGAGUUGUCCGAGGCCCAGAAAGAGCUCAAGUUACCUCAACACAAGCUCAAGACUAAGUGUCCGACAAGAUGGGGCUCAAAACAAGCAAUGAUUGCCAGGGUAUUGGAACAACAGAGUGCCAUUUCUUUUGUUCUCUCUGCGGACAGAACAGCUAGACACCUUGUCCCCACAUGGCAGGAUGUAGAAGUCCUUGAGGCGGUCAACAACUCCCUUUCUCCACUUGCUGAAUUCACUGAUGCUCUUUCAGGAGAGCAAUAUGUAAGUGUAUGUGAAGCCUGUUCAUUUGUUCAACAACAAAAUCUUGGCAGAGAAAGUCGGAGAAACAGAACUGUCAAAAUGCAUCAAGAAAAAUAUCCUGGACUACCUGAAUGAGAAAUUCGAUGAUCCACUGACUCAAGAGUUGCUUGACAUGGCUUCUGCAGUUGAUCCCAGAUUCAAGCUCAAGUACGUCAAUGAAAACAGAGUUGAAGCUGUCAAGAUUCGUUUGAGAACUGAAAUGGCAUCAGUAUCUACAGUAAAGCCUCCACCAUCUGUGACUGUUAGAGUGGAAGCAGAUGACCAAAAUGCACCAGCACUAAAGAAGACCAAAAAAACUCUGGGCAGCUUCUUUAAAGUGGAUGAGGACCAGAGGCCAGCAUCGCCAUCUCUCUCCAAUGUCCAAGACAUGACCAUUACUGCUGAGCUACAGUCUUAUUUUCUCUCUGCUGCUGUUGAUAGUGAGAAGGAUCCAUUGGUCUGGUGGAAGGAACAUGCAAAACAAUUCCCAGCACUAUCCAAGUUGGCACAAAAGUAUUUGUGCAUUCCUGCCACAAGCUCUCCCUCGGAAAGAGUAUUCAGCACUGGAGGAAACAUUGUGAAUUGUUUGCGUGCAUCCCUAAAACCUGAAAGUGUGGACAGGCUUGUGUUCCUUGCCAAAAAUCUUUAAAAUUCUAACUUAAUGUUGUUCAUUCCUGAAAACUCGAAGUAUUUUUAUGGCUUGUGUUCUAGGCCAAAAUACUUAAGGCAAUCUCAGUUUUUUUCUUUCUACAGGUUAUCUUGAGUUUUUCCAUUGUUUUAAUUUUAGUUUUAGUAUAACAAUUAUACCAUGCAUGCUAUUGCAUAUUUGUACUUUUUUAUUUAAAGAAACCAAACUAAUGUAUCGUUUACAUUUGUGGCAAUGAGAAAAGCAAUAAAA
RNA transcript from Xyrauchen texanus (razorback sucker), 2445 nucleotides. RefSeq lists it as uncharacterized. The transcript has 3 exons. The record is from RefSeq and is a predicted model, not a curated record. Lineage: Eukaryota; Metazoa; Chordata; Actinopteri; Cypriniformes; Catostomidae.